CCCUGUGCUUGGUGUUGGACGGCCGGUCGAGCGAUCGACCCCUCCUAAAGACAAUGACGGCGGCCUGUGGUUCCCCCGGUACACUGAGCUUUUCACCGAGCACGUAUCGGACAAGGCACCCGGGACCCGGUCCUCUCCUUUAGUUAAAGGAAACUUCUAUGGUUGACCUCGGAUCAGGUAGGAAUACGCGCUGAACUUAA
This 200-nucleotide unclassified non-coding RNA is filed under the name soil metagenome. RNAcentral's name for it is "partial contains internal transcribed spacer 2 and large subunit ribosomal RNA". The record is from RNAcentral.